Molecule: long non-coding RNA, 1089 nt
Filed under: Felis catus (domestic cat)
Lineage: Eukaryota; Metazoa; Chordata; Mammalia; Carnivora; Felidae
Description: lncRNA (ENSFCAG00000053309.1)
Source: RNAcentral
CGCAGCGGGAAAUCUGAAAACGGCCGCCACUGCUGUGCGCGCGCUCUCCCCCGAGGCGCCCGGCCUCCUCUGCUUUGGGUGCGCCCUGCCUUUGGCCAGUGCCACGUGCGGUGCUGGGGGGCUGCCCAAGCAGCCUUGGGCCACCUGUUCCCAAGGCGGUGACUGACCAAGGGACCAGACCCGCCUCGCGCAGCCCAGCCGUCUGGUCACUGGCGCUCAAAGCACUCAUGCCCGGAGGGGAAGAAACCCAAGCCGUGUGUGCCCGAGAGCCUGUCGCCUGAGCCCCGCGGAAAAGGAGGCAAGAACGCCGCCCCGCUUAGAGCCCCAGCUCCCCACCCACCAGCUCUUGGCUUCCCAGGUCUCCCUGCUGAGUCUGCCCCUCCACUCCCUGCGGCUGGAGCCCCAGGAGGGAGUGACGGUUGAAGAACACUUAGCAAGGGACUUGCUGGUUACUUCCGUCCCCUCCCCUGCACACCGGAGCCCUGAGAAGCUCUUUGCCGCAUCCCGGCUGCCGGGGCAGCUCUGCGUGUCCCCGCUUUCCGUAUGCUCUGGAGACAUCCCUGCUCCUUCCAGAGCCGUGUGCACGUGCGUGUGCUUGCUCCUGCCUGCUCUCCUCGUCCUCGCCUUGCCCAUCCGAAGGGCCGGGAGGCCAUCGGAACCACGUGCUGAUGACAUUUAAAGGACAUCUUGAAAGUAACACAACAACAAGGGGAUGAAAAUAAGGCACCAAAGAAAAGGACCCCGAUCCUGAAAGACUAAGGCUUCAAGUGACACAGACCCCACGAGCAGGUACAGCCUCCUGUCCGUGCAAGGGGCGCGAGGAGGGCUGUGGGUCACAUUGUGUCCCCCCCACCCCCCAGAAGCUGGAAAGGACAAGGAUGCGCCCUUUAGGGGCCUCAGAGAGAGAGAGAGCGGGGCCCUGCAGACACAGUGACUGUGGGCUUCUGGCCUUCUGCACGGUGCCAGAGGACGUGUCUGUGGUUUUAAGCCCGCCGGUCGGUGCAAUUUUGUUACAGCGGCCAUAGGAAACUGAUACAAUGAGGGAACAACGGAAAUAAACAUCCUCUCUAGAGAUAGCUGUGAAGUGUG